Transfer RNA from Camelus ferus (Wild Bactrian camel), 72 nucleotides. It matches the Rfam family "tRNA". From Rfam's summary of the family: Transfer RNA (tRNA) molecules are approximately 80 nucleotides in length. Their secondary structure includes four short double-helical elements and three loops (D, anti-codon, and T loops). NCBI's taxonomy places the organism in Eukaryota, Metazoa, Chordata, Mammalia, Artiodactyla, Camelidae. The record is from Rfam.
GAAGGUAUAGCUCAGUGGUUGAGCGCAUGCUUAACAUGCAUGAGGUAAUGGGUUCGAUUCCCAGUACCUUCA